Molecule: ribosomal RNA, 1949 nt
Filed under: Citrobacter freundii
Lineage: Bacteria; Pseudomonadati; Pseudomonadota; Gammaproteobacteria; Enterobacterales; Enterobacteriaceae
Description: partial 23S ribosomal RNA
Rfam family: Bacterial large subunit ribosomal RNA
Source: RNAcentral
UCAUCUUCGGGGGUAGAGCACUGUUUCGGCUAGGGGGUCAUCCCGACUUACCAACCCGAUGCAAACUGCGAAUACCGAAGAAUGUUAUCACGGGAGACACACGGCGGGUGCUAACGUCCGUCGUGAAGAGGGAAACAACCCAGACCGCCAGCUAAGGUCCCAAAGUCAUGGUUAAGUGGGAAACGAUGUGGGAAGGCACAGACAGCCAGGAUGUUGGCUUAGAAGCAGCCAUCAUUUAAAGAAAGCGUAAUAGCUCACUGGUCGAGUCGGCCUGCGCGGAAGAUGUAACGGGGCUAAACCAUGCACCGAAGCUGCGGCAGCGACACUAUGUGUUGUUGGGUAGGGGAGCGUUCUGUAAGCCGUUGAAGGUGGCCUGUGAGGGUUGCUGGAGGUAUCAGAAGUGCGAAUGCUGACAUAAGUAACGAUAAUGCGGGUGAAAAACCCGCACGCCGGAAGACCAAGGGUUCCUGUCCAACGUUAAUCGGGGCAGGGUGAGUCGACCCCUAAGGCGAGGCCGAAAGGCGUAGUCGAUGGGAAACAGGUUAAUAUUCCUGUACUUGGUGUUACUGCGAAGGGGGGACGGAGAAGGCUAUGUUAGCCGGGCGACGGUUGUCCCGGUUUAAGCAUGUAGGCGGAGGUUCCAGGUAAAUCCGGUACCUUUUAACGCUGAGGUGUGAUGACGAGGCACUACGGUGCUGAAGUAACAAAUGCCCUGCUUCCAGGAAAAGCCUCUAAGCAUCAGGUAACACGAAAUCGUACCCCAAACCGACACAGGUGGUCAGGUAGAGAAUACCAAGGCGCUUGAGAGAACUCGGGUGAAGGAACUAGGCAAAAUGGUGCCGUAACUUCGGGAGAAGGCACGCUGAUAUGUAGGUGAAGUGAUUUACUCAUGGAGCUGAAAUCAGUCGAAGAUACCAGCUGGCUGCAACUGUUUAUUAAAAACACAGCACUGUGCAAACACGAAAGUGGACGUAUACGGUGUGACGCCUGCCCGGUGCCGGAAGGUUAAUUGAUGGGGUUAUCCGUAAGGAGAAGCUCUUGAUCGAAGCCCCGGUAAACGGCGGCCGUAACUAUAACGGUCCUAAGGUAGCGAAAUUCCUUGUCGGGUAAGUUCCGACCUGCACGAAUGGCGUAAUGAUGGCCAGGCUGUCUCCACCCGAGACUCAGUGAAAUUGAACUCGCUGUGAAGAUGCAGUGUACCCGCGGCAAGACGGAAAGACCCCGUGAACCUUUACUAUAGCUUGACACUGAACACUGGUCCUUGAUGUGUAGGAUAGGUGGGAGGCUUUGAAGUGUGGACGCCAGUCUGCAUGGAGCCAUCCUUGAAAUACCACCCUUUAAUGGCUGGUGUUCUAACGUGGACCCGUUACCCGGGUUGCGGACAGUGUCUGGUGGGUAGUUUGACUGGGGCGGUCUCCUCCUAAAGAGUAACGGAGGAGCACGAAGGUUAGCUAAUCCUGGUCGGACAUCAGGAGGUUAGUGCAAAGGCAUAAGCUAGCUUGACUGCGAGAGUGACGGCUCGAGCAGGUGCGAAAGCAGGUCUUAGUGAUCCGGUGGUUCUGAAUGGAAGGGCCAUCGCUCAACGGAUAAAAGGUACUCCGGGGAUAACAGGCUGAUACCGCCCAAGAGUUCAUAUCGACGGCGGUGUUUGGCACCUCGAUGUCGGCUCAUCACAUCCUGGGGCUGAAGUAGGUCCCAAGGGUAUGGCUGUUCGCCAUUUAAAGUGGUACGCGAGCUGGGUUUAGAACGUCGUGAGACAGUUCGGUCCCUAUCUGCCGUGGGCGCUGGAGAAUUGAGGGGGGCUGCUCCUAGUACGAGAGGACCGGAGUGGACGCAUCACUGGUGUUCGGGUUGUCAUGCCAAUGGCAUUGCCCGGUAGCUAAAUGCGGAAGAGAUAAGUGCUGAAAGCAUCUAAGCACGAAACUUGCCCCGAGAUGAGUUCUCCCUGA